AGUGCGCGGCCGGAGGAGGCGAGCGCUGGGGACGCAGCACCUGCCCCGCGCGGCCGAGAGGCGGCAGCCCCAGGUCCCCAGCGCGCGAAAUUAGUAAAGGGCGCCUGGCCCGAUUCUCAGGCAAGAGGAGAUUAUCAGCCGGAUUCCCGUGCGGGGACGUAGGGGUUGCGUUGUUCAGCGGCCAGGGAUGCGCCGAGGCGAUGUCUCCUCCCUUUACAACCCGAGUAUCGGGGCACGAGGAGGCGCGACCUUCCUGGGUACCCAAACCUCUGGCCUCCGGGAGACGCGGAAUUCGGGGGAUCGUUAAGGCGCCCUGGCCAGGGAAACAGAUGCUUCUGCGUCUGGGCUGAAAAUUGCUGAACCGGGGAAUGUGGGUGGGCGGGUGGCAUUGAACUUAGGCCAGAAGAGGGGGCUUUGGUAGGUUUUUACCUGCCUGUCCUUAGGCGGAGGACACUGGCUGGACAGGCUGCGUUACACACCUGAAGUCUCAUCCACGCAAAGUGCUUUCAGGUUGGAAUGUGGGGCGGGGGCGGGGGGAGGUCAGAGGGAACAGUUGCUGUAAAUUAGGUACAAGGAUCAAUUUGUGGUGUGUUGUGCGCGGGGGUGGGGCAUGUCGAAAGCCUUGUUAUUCGAAAGAAUGUGCUUUGAACGACGUUGCCACGGUCAUUCUACAUUAUGAAUCUACUGUUUCCUUGCAGAAGUGGCUCCCUUCGCCGCAACUCCACACCUCGGGGUAACCGUAGAGAUUGGCAGCAAUGCCCCAGCCCCUCACCAGCACUGUGCAAAGUGACUUUGACAGGCAGAGAAAAGCCAACCCAGUCGAAUUCGUCUGGAAAGCAUUCCAGCAACCCAGAGAGGAGCCUCUGUUUCUCUCUCUGGGAAAAAGCCCCAAGGGUUUUGCUGAACCCAGGUCUUCCUGCUCAUCUCUCAGCAGUUCAGAGCUACAUAAACAACUUCUGACCAUUUACGCAAUCAUGUAAACCUACCCUGACAUCUCCACUAUGUGGAAAAGAUGUUAACUGGAAAACUAUUUUUAAACUACUGCAGUAAGCAAAUAAACAUCCAACUCCAACAUAUAUAUGCAGCAGCCUUAUUAGUUCAUUCAGUGUUGGUUUGGUUUGUUUGUUUUGUCUUCUGCUU
This 1140-nucleotide long non-coding RNA is filed under the name Homo sapiens (human). Its description in RNAcentral is "non-protein coding lnc-IL5RA-3:4". Lineage: Eukaryota; Metazoa; Chordata; Mammalia; Primates; Hominidae. The record is from RNAcentral.